CAUGUAGGCGGAAUUGCAAGCUUGAUGUGAAAGGCAGGGGCUUAACUCCUGGAUUGCGUUGAGAACUGCAUAACUAGAGUAACUGAGGGGCAGCCGGGAAUUCCAGGUGUAGGGGUGAAAUCUGUAGAUAUCUGGAAGAACACCAAUGGCGAAGGCAGGCUACCAGCAGAUUACUGACGCUGAGGUGCGAAGGUAUGGGGAGCAAACA
This 208-nucleotide ribosomal RNA is filed under the name uncultured bacterium. Its description in RNAcentral is "partial 16S ribosomal RNA". It matches the Rfam family "Bacterial small subunit ribosomal RNA", at positions 568 to 774 of the family's 1533-position model. The record is from RNAcentral.